UACGAAGGGGGCUAGCGUUGCUCGGAAUCACUGGGCGUAAAGGGUGCGUAGGCGGUUCUUUAAGUCAGGGGUGAAAUCCUGGAGCUCAACUCCAGAACUGCCUUUGAUACUGAAGAUCUUGAGUUCGGGAGAGGUGAGUGGAACUGCGAGUGUAGAGGUGAAAUUCGUAGAUAUUCGCAAGAACACCAGUGGCGAAGGCGGCUAACCGGGCCGAUACUGACGCUGAGGCACGAAAGCGUGGGGAGCAAACAGG
This 253-nucleotide ribosomal RNA is filed under the name uncultured bacterium. RNAcentral's name for it is "partial 16S ribosomal RNA". It matches the Rfam family "Bacterial small subunit ribosomal RNA", at positions 524 to 776 of the family's 1533-position model. The record is from RNAcentral.